RNAcentral lists this Y RNA (115 nucleotides) under Propithecus coquereli (Coquerel's sifaka). RNAcentral describes it as "Y RNA (ENSPCOG00000006638.1)". It matches the Rfam family "Y RNA". Rfam says of the family: Y RNAs are components of the Ro ribonucleoprotein particle (Ro RNP), in association with Ro60 and La proteins. The Y RNAs and Ro60 and La proteins are well conserved, but the function of the Ro RNP is not known. The record is from Rfam by way of RNAcentral. Lineage: Eukaryota; Metazoa; Chordata; Mammalia; Primates; Indriidae.
GGCUGGUCCGAAGGUAGAGAGUUAUCUCACUGGAUUGUUCACAGUCAGUUACAGGUUGAACUCCUUGUUCUCCUACUUAACCCCCCUCCUCACUACUGCACUUGACUAGUCUUAA